UACGUAGGGCGCAAGCGUUAUCCGGAAUUAUUGGGCGUAAAGAGCUCGUAGGCGGUUUGUUGCGUCUGCCGUGAAAGUCCGGGGCUUAACUCCGGAUCUGCGGUGGGUACGGGCAGACUAGAGUGCAGUAGGGGAGACUGGAAUUCCUGGUGUAGCGGUGAAAUGCGCAGAUAUCAGGAGGAACACCGAUGGCGAAGGCAGGUCUCUGGGCUGUAACUGACGCUGAGGAGCGAAAGCAUGGGGAGCGAACAGG
This 253-nucleotide ribosomal RNA is filed under the name uncultured bacterium. RNAcentral describes it as "partial 16S ribosomal RNA". It matches the Rfam family "Bacterial small subunit ribosomal RNA", at positions 524 to 776 of the family's 1533-position model. The record is from RNAcentral.